AACGAGAAUCACUGGAAGGAGUUUUCGGACAACGGAAGGUGAGGACAGUGGCGGACGGGUGAGUAACGCGUGAGGAACCUGCCUUUCAGAGGGGGACAACAGUUGGAAACGACUGCUAAUACCGCAUGACACAUAGAGAUCGCAUGGUUUUUAUGUCAAAGAUUUAUCGCUGAAAGAUGGCCUCGCGUCUGAUUAGCUAGUUGGUGAGGUAACGGCCCACCAAGGCGACGAUCAGUAGCCGGACUGAGAGGUUGACCGGCCACAUUGGGACUGAGAUACGGCCCAGACUCCUACGGGGGGCAGCAGUGGGGAAUAUUGGGCAAUGGGCGCAAGCCUGACCCAGCAACGCCGCGUGAAGGAAGAAGGCUUUCGGGUUGUAAACUUCUUUUGUCGGGGACGAGUAGAAGACGGUACCUGGCGAAUAAGCCACGGCUAACUACGUGCCAGCAGCCGCGGUAAUACGUAGGUGGCAAGCGUUGUCCGGAUUUACUGGGUGUAAAGGGCGUGUAGCCGGGAAGGCAAGUCAGAUGUGAAAUCCACGGGCUUAACUCGUGAACUGCAUUUGAAACUACUUUUCUUGAGUAUCGGAGAGGC
RNAcentral lists this ribosomal RNA (594 nucleotides) under uncultured bacterium. RNAcentral describes it as "bacterial SSU rRNA". It matches the Rfam family "Bacterial small subunit ribosomal RNA", at positions 65 to 658 of the family's 1533-position model. The record is from RNAcentral.